Molecule: ribosomal RNA, 215 nt
Filed under: uncultured Stenotrophomonas sp.
Lineage: Bacteria; Pseudomonadati; Pseudomonadota; Gammaproteobacteria; Lysobacterales; Lysobacteraceae
Description: partial 16S ribosomal RNA
Rfam family: Bacterial small subunit ribosomal RNA
Source: RNAcentral
AAGCGUGCGUAGGUGGUUGUUUAAGUCUGUUGUGAAAGCCCUGGGCUCAACCUGGGAACUGCAGUGGAAACUGGACAACUAGACUGUGGUAGAGGGUAGCGGAAUUCCCGGUGUAGCAGUGAAAUGCGUAGAGAUCGGGAGGAACAUCCAUGGCGAAGGCAGCUACCUGGACCAACACUGACACUGAGGCACGAAAGCGUGGGGAGCAAACAGGA